AGGGUUCGAUUCUGGCUCAGGAUGAACGCUAGCGACAGGCUUAACACAUGCAAGUCGAGGGGCAGCAUAAAAGUAGCAAUACUUGGUGGCGACCGGCGCACGGGUGAGUAACGCGUAUGCAACCUACCUAUCAGAGGGGAAUAACCCGGCGAAAGUCGGACUAAUACCGCAUAAAACAGGGGCACCGCAUGGUGAUAUUUGUUAAAGAAAUUCGCUGAUAGAUGGGCAUGCGUUCCAUUAGGUAGUUGGUGAGGUAACGGCUCACCAAGCCGACGAUGGAUAGGGGAACUGAGAGGUUGGUCCCCCACACUGGUACUGAGACACGGACCAGACUCCUACGGGAGGCAGCAGUGAGGAAUAUUGGUCAAUGGGCGGGAGCCUGAACCAGCCAAGUCGCGUGAAGGAAAGAAGGAUCUAUGGUUCGUAAACUUCUUUUGCAGGGGAAUAAAGUGCAGGACGUGUCCUGUUUUGUAUGUACCCUGAGAAUAAGGAUCGGCUAACUCCGUGCCAGCAGCAGC
Molecule: ribosomal RNA, 518 nt
Filed under: uncultured bacterium
Lineage: Bacteria
Description: bacterial SSU rRNA
Rfam family: Bacterial small subunit ribosomal RNA
Source: RNAcentral